UGGGCGAAAGCCUGAUCCAGCCAUGCCGCGUGUGUGAAGAAGGCCUUUUGGUUGUAAAGCACUUUAAGCGAGGAGGAGGCUACCGAGAUUAAUACUCUUGGAUAGUGGACGUUACUCGCAGAAUAAGCACCGGCUAACUCUGUGCCAGCAGCCGCGGUAAUACAGAGGGUGCGAGCGUUAAUCGGAUUUACUGGGCGUAAAGCGUGCGUAGGCGGCUUCUUAAGUCGGAUGUGAAAUCCCUGAGCUUAACUUAGGAAUUGCAUUCGAUACUGGGAAGCUAGAGUAUGGGAGAGGAUGGUAGAAUUCCAGGUGUAGCGGUGAAAUGCGUAGAGAUCUGGAGGAAUACCGAUGGCGAAGGCAGCCAUCUGGCCUAAUACUGACGCUGAGGUACGAAAGCAUGGGGAGCAAACAGGAUUAGAUACCCUGGUAGUCCAUGCCGUAAACGAUGUCUACUAGCCGUUGGGGCCUUUGAGGCUUUAGUGGCGCAGCUAACGCGGUAAGUA
RNAcentral lists this ribosomal RNA (503 nucleotides) under Acinetobacter sp. AG1. RNAcentral describes it as "SSU rRNA". It matches the Rfam family "Bacterial small subunit ribosomal RNA", at positions 372 to 866 of the family's 1533-position model. The record is from RNAcentral. Lineage: Bacteria; Pseudomonadati; Pseudomonadota; Gammaproteobacteria; Moraxellales; Moraxellaceae.